This is a non-coding RNA of Musa acuminata subsp. malaccensis (wild Malaysian banana), 5196 nucleotides long. The record is from RefSeq and is a predicted model, not a curated record. NCBI's taxonomy places the organism in Eukaryota, Viridiplantae, Streptophyta, Magnoliopsida, Zingiberales, Musaceae.
GCGGUAUUUGUUUUGGUAGUCGUCGCAUCACCCAACUUAACGGCGCUAUUGUUUUGUUGGUGUGCAUACCACGACGCCUCCAGGGCCUCUUCCCACGAACGAACAACAUCGAGAGAGAAACAGAGAGAAGAAGUAGAAGAAGAAGAGGGGUAAGAGAGAAGCGAUCGCCUUCAUUUCCAUCGAGGACCCACAGAACCUCCUCCUUCCCCGUCAUUUCUCGCGUCCGAUCUAAUCGAUCGUAUCUCAAGGAUAUUUCCAUCUGAAUCGCCCGACUCCGGGCGGAUGACCCAUGGUUAGCCUAGAUAACAUCAUUGUAGGUUCUCAUGUCUGGGUUGAAGAUCCAGUUCUGGCUUGGGUUGAUGGCGAGGUUUUUAAGAUCAAUGGUAAUGAGGUCCAUGCACAUACAACUAAUGGGAAAACAGUUGUGGCAAACAUGUCAAAAGUGUUUCCCAAGGAUACAGAAGCUCCACCUGCUGGAGUGGAUGAUAUGACAAAAUUAUCAUACUUGCAUGAACCUGGUGUCCUUCAGAACCUUGCCACACGUUAUGAACUUAAUGAAAUAUAUACAUACACCGGUAAUAUCCUGAUUGCUGUGAACCCAUUUCAAAGGUUACCUCAUCUCUAUGAUACCCACAUCAUGGAACAAUAUAAAGGGGCAGAUUUUGGGGAGCUAAGUCCUCAUGUUUUUGCAGUUGCUGAUGUUGCUUACAGGGCUAUGAUUAAUGAAGGGAAAAGCAACUCCAUCUUGGUCAGUGGAGAAAGUGGGGCUGGCAAAACUGAAACAACUAAAAUGCUUAUGAGAUACCUGGCAUAUUUGGGUGGACGAUCUGGAAUAGAAGGACGGACCGUCGAACAACAAGUUCUGGAAUCCAAUCCAGUUCUUGAAGCUUUUGGAAAUGCCAAAACUGUUCGAAACAAUAACUCAAGUCAUUUCGGUAAGUUUGUUGAGAUAUAGUUUGACAAAAAUGGAAGGAUAUCUAGUGCCGCUAUUAGAACAUACUUACUUGAAAGAUCUCGUGUCUGUCAAAUUAAUGAUCCUGAAAGGAACUACCAUUGCUUUUACCUUCUCUGUGCUGCACCUCAUGAGGAGAUUGAGAAGUACAAGUUGGGAAAUCCACAGUCAUUUCAUUAUCUUAACCAAUCCAAAUGCUUUAAGCUAGAUGGGGUUGAUGAAGCUCAAGAAUAUCUAGCAACUAGAAGGGCAAUGGAUAUAGUUGGAAUCAGUGAGCAGGAACAGGAGGCAAUAUUUAGGGUUGUAGCUGCUAUACUUCAUAUUGGGAAUAUCGAUUUCGUUAAAGGGCCAGAGAUAGAUUCAUCUGUUAUCAAGGACGAGAAGUCAAGAUUCCAUCUUGACAUGGCAGCUGAACUUCUGAUGUGCAAUGUCAAGGGUUUAGAAAAUGCAUUGAUAAAACGUGUCAUGGUGACCCCUGAAGAAGUUAUUACAAGAACUCUUGAUCCUGCUUCUGCAAUUGUCAGCAGGGAUGGCUUAGCAAAAACCUUAUAUUCCCAUCUGUUUGAUUGGCUUGUAGAGAAAAUUAAUAUAUCGAUUGGGCAGGACCCUACUUCAAAGUCGCUGAUUGGAGUUCUGGAUAUAUACGGUUUUGAAAGUUUCAAAUGUAAUAGUUUUGAACAACUCUGUAUCAACUUCACAAAUGAAAAGCUGCAACAACAUUUCAACCAGCAUGUCUUCAAAAUGGAGCAAGAGGAGUAUACCAAGGAGGAGAUUAACUGGAGCUACAUAGAGUUUGUCGAUAACCAAGAUGUUCUGGAUUUGAUUGAGAAGAAACCUGGAGGCAUCAUUGCACUUCUUGAUGAAGCCUGCAUGUUUCCCAGGUCAACACACGAGACAUUUGCUCAAAAAUUGUAUCAGACAUUAAAAAACAACAAGAGAUUUAUAAAACCGAAACUUUCUCGUACCAUCUUCACAUUCUGCCAUUAUGCUGGAGAGGUAACAUAUCAAGCCGACUACUUCUUAGACAAAAACAAAGAUUAUGUUGUGGCAGAACAUCAGGAUUUACUAAAUGCUUCCAAUUGCCCAUUUGUUUCGGGUUUAUUUCCACCACUUCCUGAAGAGACAUCAAAGUCUUCAAAGUUCUCUUCCAUUGGCUCCUGCUUUAAACUACAACUUCAAUCUCUGAUGGAAACCUUGAACUCAACACAACCACAUUACAUCAGAUGUGUGAAGCCAAAUAACGUCCUCAAACCUUCUAUUUUCGAGAACUUCAAUGUUAUCCAACAAUUGCGCUGUGGAGGUGUUCUAGAAGCAAUCAGGAUCAGCUGUGCUGGAUAUCCAACUCGAAGAACAUUUUAUGAAUUUCUCCUUCGGUUCAGUCUUCUUGCUCCAGAAGUUUUGGAAGGAAACUUUGAUGACAAGGCUGCAUGCCAAAAGAUUCUGGACAAAAUUGGAUUGAAAGGUUACCAGCUAGGCAAGAGCAAAGUGUUCCUGAGAGCUGGCCAGAUGGCUGAAUUAGAUGCUAGAAGAGCAGAGGUGCUUGGAAGAGCAGCCUGAACAAUUCAAAGACAAAUCCGUACAUAUAUUGCUCGUAAAGAGUUCCUUAGGCUACGGCAAGCAUCUGUUUAUUUGCAGUCUCUCUGGAGAGGAAGACUGGCCUGUAAACUGUAUGAGUGCAUUAGACGUGAAGCAGCAGCAGUCAAAAUUCAGAAGAAUUUGCGCCGAUAUUUUGCAAGGAAAUCAUAUACAGCACUUCGAAUGUCAGCAAUUACGUUGCAAACAGGCUCAAGGGCAAUGAUUGCUCGCAAUGACUUUAGGUUGAGAAAGCAAACUAAAGCUUCAAUUUGUAUUCAGUCUCAAUGGCGUUGUCACAGGGAUUAUUCUUAUCACAAGAGGUUGCAAAAGGCAACACUUACUUAUCAGUGUGCUUGGAGACAGAGACUUGCAAGGAAAGAGCUUAGAAAGCUAAGAAUGGCUGCCAGGGAAACAGGAGCCCUUAAAGAGGCCAAAGACAAUCUUGAAAAGCGCGUGGAGGAACUGACAUGGCGUUUGCAGCUUGAGAAAAAUUUGCAGACUGAUCUAGAAGAGACAAAAGCACAAGAAAUUGCUAAACUGCAAGACAUUUUGCAUGAGAUGCAACUGCAGGUAGAACAAGCAAAAUCCACAGUUAUUAAGGAACAGGAGGCUGCACGAAAAACUAUCGAAGAAGCACUUCCGAUCAUAAAGGAAACCCCUGUCUUAGUUCAAGAUACAGAAAAGAUUGAUUCACUAAAUGCUGAAAUUGAAAACCUUAAGGUUUUGUUGCUAAUAGAAAAGCAGGCAACAGAUUCAGCCAAUAAAGCAUUUGCUGAAGCUCAGAACAGAAAUAUUGAACUGGUCAAGAAAGUUGAAGAUUCUGAAAUGAGAGCUGAUCAAUUUCAAGACACUGUUCAAAGGCUUGAAGAGAGAGUCUCAAAACUGGAGUCAGAGAACCAAGUGCUUUGUCAACAGGCGGUUGCCAUUUCACCAACUAGCAGAGCUUCAUGUUCAAAAACAAGUAUCUUCCAGAGAAGCACAGAAAAUGAGAAUAUCCUGAAUGGUGAAUCGAAACUUGCUUUGGACUUGAGUCCUGGUUCACCUAAUUCCAGAGAACUUCAAAAUGAUGAUAAACCACAGAAGUCACUCAAUGAGAAGCAGCAGGAAAAUCAGGACUUACUUAUUGAGUGUAUCUCUAAAGACUUGGGAUUCUCUGGGGGUAGGCCUAUUGCUGCUUGUGUCAUAUACAGAUGCCUUCUUCAUUGGAGAUCCUUUGAAGCUGAAAGGACUACUAUUUUUGACUGUAUAAUCCAAACAAUAGGCUCAGCUAUAGAGGCCCAGGAUAACAUUGAUGUUUUAUCCCACUGGUUGUCCAAUUCAUCUACUCUAUUGUUGCUCCUCCAACGAACAUUAAAAGCAAGUGGAGCAGCAAGUUUGACUCCACAGAGGCGUAGAACGUGAGCUUUAUUUGGGAGGAUGUCUCAGGGAAUUCGAGCCUCUCCUCAGAGUGCUGGCCUCUUUUCGUUUAGUGGUCGCAUGAUGGGUGGAUUGAGUGAUUUGCGUCAAGUUGAAGCUAAAUAUCCUGCUCUACUUUUCAAGCAGCAGCUUACUGCUUUCCUUGAGAAAAUUUUCCCAAUAGUUUUAUGGAAUGAUUGGAGACAAUCUAAAGAAAGUAUUAUCUUCACUGCUUGCCUCAUGUAUCCAGGCACCAAGAACAUCUCGUGCAAGCUUAAUUAGAGGCUCACGAUCUCAAGCAAAUGCUAUGGCCCAGCAGGCACUGAUCGCGCAUUGGCAAAGCAUAGUGAAAAGCUUAACCAACUAUUUGAAAAUCCUGAGAGCCAAUCAUGUCCCUCCAUUUUUGGUUCACAAGGUGUUCACCGAAAUUUUCUCAUUUAUAAAUGUACAACUGUUCAACAGCCUUCUGCUGAGGCGCGAGUGUUGUUCAUUUAGCAAUGGGGAAUAUCUCAAAGCAGGGCUGACUGAGUUAGAACACUGGUGCUAUGAUGCAACUGAAGAGUAUGCAGGUUCCACAUGGGGUGAAUUGAAGCAUAUUAGGCAGGCUGUUGGUUUCCUGGUAUGUUUUUUUAUGAAGAAAACCAAGACCUUGAAGGAGAUAACCAAUGAUCUAUGUCCAGUGCUCAGCAUACAACAGUUAUACAGAAUAAGUACAAUGUAUUGGGAUGACAAAUAUGGAACACAGCGUAUCAUCCGAGGUCAUUUCAAGUAUGAGAGUUAUGAUGACUGAGGAUGCAAAUAGUGCAGUCGGCAGUUCUUUCUUGUUGGAUGAUGAUUCGAGCAUACCAUUCUCCGUGGACGAUAUCUCAAAGUCGAUGACUGAGAUAGAGGUAGCAGAUGUUGAUCCACCACCUCUAAUUCGUCAGAACUCGGGCUUUGUUUUUUUGCUACAGAGGAAGGAAUCGUAGACUUCAUCUUCAAGUUUCCUAUUCAUGCCCAAGAGGUGCAUAUUCGUCUUGUAGAUAUGAUGUUAUUCUAUUCAUGCCGAAUUAGCAUAACCAGGGGUAGAUUAUGAUUUUAGUAAUCGGGUUUGAUUUGUUGAUUUAAUUUCAUGAUUCUUUUGAUGAGUUGUAUUUAUUGGCAAUAAGCCCCUGUUCUGACUCUGGGCUGCUCGGUGUCUACCGUCAAGAAGUGAGAGGAUUCUCUUCUCUACUUCAACAAGCAUUUAGAAGUUGAACGAUUGGCAAUAAGGUUAACGUUUGUUUUAUGCUGAA